This 98-nucleotide unclassified non-coding RNA is filed under the name Rhodotorula toruloides. Lineage: Eukaryota; Fungi; Basidiomycota; Microbotryomycetes; Sporidiobolales; Sporidiobolaceae. The record is from RNAcentral.
GUUACCAUACGGUCAGAUGUCAUUGUGGGGUGCCACUGUUAUUACGAACUUGUUGUCAGCCAUCCCAUGGAUCGGUACUGACUUCGUUCAAUUUGUCU